RNAcentral lists this ribosomal RNA (425 nucleotides) under uncultured bacterium. RNAcentral describes it as "partial 16S ribosomal RNA". It matches the Rfam family "Bacterial small subunit ribosomal RNA", at positions 354 to 796 of the family's 1533-position model. The record is from RNAcentral.
GUGGGGAAUAUUGCACAAUGGGCGAAAGCCUGAUGCAGCGACGCCGCGUGAGCGAAGAAGUAUUUCGGUAUGUAAAGCUCUAUCAGCAGGGAAGAUAAUGACGGUACCUGACUAAGAAGCACCGGCUAAAUACGUGCCAGCAGCCGCGGUAAUACGUAUGGUGCAAGCGUUAUCCGGAUUUACUGGGUGUAAAGGGAGUGUAGGUGGCAUCACAAGUCAGAAGUGAAAGCCCGGGGCUCAACCCCGGGACUGCUUUUGAAACUGUGGAGCUGGAGUGCAGGAGAGGCAAGUGGAAUUCCUAGUGUAGCGGUGAAAUGCGUAGAUAUUAGGAGGAACACCAGUGGCGAAGGCGGCUUGCUGGACUGUAACUGACACUGAGGCUCGAAAGCGUGGGGAGCAAACAGGAUUAGAUACCCCUGUAGUCC